UGGGGAAUUUUGGACAAUGGGCGCAAGCCUGAUCCAGCCAUGCCGCGUGCGGGAAGAAGGCCUUCGGGUUGUAAACCGCUUUUGUCAGGGAAGAAACGCUCUGGGCUAAUACCCUGGGGUAAUGACGGUACCUGAAGAAUAAGCACCGGCUAACUACGUGCCAGCAGCCGCGGUAAUACGUAGGGUGCGAGCGUUAAUCGGAAUUACUGGGCGUAAAGCGUGCGCAGGCGGCUUUGCAAGACAGAUGUGAAAUCCCCGGGCUCAACCUGGGAACUGCAUUUGUGACUGCAAGGCUAGAGUACGGUAGAGGGGGAUGAAAUUCCGCGUGUAGCAGUGAAAUGCGUAGAUAUGCGGAGGAACACCGAUGGCGAAGGCAAUCCCCUGGACCUGUACUGACGCUCAUGCACGAAAGCGUGGGGAGCAAACAGGAUUAGAUACCCUUGUAGUCCCUGAGCGGGCUGGCAAGGCGCAU
This 472-nucleotide ribosomal RNA is filed under the name uncultured bacterium. RNAcentral's name for it is "bacterial SSU rRNA". It matches the Rfam family "Bacterial small subunit ribosomal RNA", at positions 355 to 825 of the family's 1533-position model. The record is from RNAcentral.